This 3699-nucleotide long non-coding RNA is filed under the name Musa acuminata (dwarf banana). Its description in RNAcentral is "long non-coding RNA (MACU_LNC002928)". The record is from RNAcentral. Lineage: Eukaryota; Viridiplantae; Streptophyta; Magnoliopsida; Zingiberales; Musaceae.
UCUGAAACAUGACGCACUUCAUACGUGCUUUUCAUAACAUAGAAAGGCUGCUUAAUUCCAUUACAAUAGCAAAUGCAAACAGGUAGUCCACUGUUUGCUUAUUGACACCAAAACACAGGAGCUAAGAGUGCAGCUUAUUCAAUUCAUCCGACUAGUUUUUCUUCGCGAACUGAGCCUGAAGCCAGUCGAUGGUCUUCUUGUCCACUUGGAAAGCCUUGGCGAGGAUUUCAUCCGAGAUGGGGGGAUUCGACCCGAACACAGCAUCGGCGAUGGUGAUGGUGCCAGGGUUUUGGCUGCUGAGAGCACCGAUGGCGAAGGUGUUGGUGUGCCCAGGGUUGAACUGGAAGUGGAUGAGGCCUUGGGGGAACACAAACACAUCACCCUUCUUCAGCAUCUUGGUGAAGAGACGGUUGCCGUCGUCGCUGUUGGAUGUGACGAAGCCGACCAAGAGCUGUCCCUCUAUGACGGUGAGGAUCUCGGUGGCACGGGGGUGAGUGUGGGGCGGGUUGAGGCCAUUGGGGAUGUAGUCGAUGCGAACCAUGGAGAUGCCGAGGGUGUUGAGCCCUGGAAUCUGGAUCACGUUGGCAGGCGUGACAUUGAACCCGAAAUUGUUCUUUCCUGUAUCGCCGGGCAUGUCGAGGCCAGAAAGAGAGAAGUCGUCGGCUUUCACAACCAUGGGGUCCUUGCAGACGAAUCCAUUCACCCGCACUGCAACAGCAGAAGGAAGAAGCAAACUCGGUCGGUAAACAUGCAUCAGGAGAACAAACGCACCGAAGGAAAUUAAUCUGGAUACUAUGAAUACCUUUAGACAUCAUAUCUGCGACACAGAAGUCUUGAAGUUGGCUAGGAUCGGAAGCCAUUGCAAGAGAGGAAGCCAUGGCGAGGAGAACAAGGAGAAACAUUUCGGCGGCCAUCUGUAAUCUCUUAGAUGGAUGGGAUUACCUGGUGCCGUGAUACAGUGGCCUGGAAGAGACGGGUAUAUAUAGAGAAGCAGGCUCUGAAACAUUCAUGAUCAUUAGGUGAAGGAGAUGAAAAGUAUACCAUGUUAGGUUGCUUUCUUCUUGCAAUAUAUUUUCUAUAGCCGUCACCUCGUACGAGAUCCAUAUGAUGCACAGUAACCAUUAAAUUUGUUGACGUGUCUCAGUAACCUAAUCCAUGACCAUUUUAUAUGUAUAUAUAUAAUGAUGGAGCUUUUAGUUAGAUCAUGCUGUAGUGUAAAAUGGACUCUUACGUUCGACUGCAUAAUCCACCACGUGAGAUUUUUGUGACGACCUUACGCUACCAAACAAGAGGAGAAGUCAGCAAAGAUGUGGCAGCUGAACAGAACAAGCUAAGGACAGGUAGAAAGAACAAGAAGCCAAAGAUGUGAUUACCAAUUUGACCUUGUCGGGUCUUGUGUACUGCUACGGCUGAUACCGUGUAUUAUAAUUAAGGUGUUCUACGUCAUCUCCGACUAUUUUCAUCACACUGAGACGUCGCGUGCAUGUUGCAAAGAAGUAUGUAAAUACGUAAGUUCUUAAGAGAUUAUAAGUUGAUAUAAUGCUGUCCAAGAAUAGUAAGCAUGUUGAUAGUUGCCUCUACGUUAAACGCUUAUGGGAUCCUAAGUUAUUAAGAGAUCAUAAGAGAUUUUAAAAAUACUAAAUCUUCGUAUAUAGGUAUACAAGAAUAUUGUACGAUUUAGAUAAAAUCAAUUAUAUUCGUGAUAAAAAUCAAUGAGGUUAGGUGAGAUAAAAUAUUUUUUUUAAUUAAAUAUCUAAAGUAAAAUUAACAUAUCAACAUUACAUUGUUCACAUAAAAUUUAUAAUCAUAUUAUCUAUAAUACGAAAAAAAAAUUAUGUCAAAAUUUAAAAUCAAAUAAUAAUGGAUCUAAAUAAUAUUACGAUGCAUACCUUUCGUUGUUAUUUAGAAGAAUAAAUAUUAUCUGAUCUACAGGCGUAUCAUCGUCGGAUCUAAAUGAAAUACUUCUAUUUAGCCCUUAAGAUCAUAUCUAUUUAUAAACAAAAACAAAGAGUCUAAGAUAAGAUAUUAGAAGAAUUCCUCCCAUAAGGAUAUCCUUGGAAUCCUACUAUAAUAUGAAUUUUUUUUUUAUUAAUCAAUAAUCAUAAUCAGAAUUCAAUCAUAUCUAUAAUAUAUUUUACCUAAUUAAAUAUGACCACACAAUCUAACACUCAAUCAUAAAUCCACGAAUCAUAAAUCCAUAAAAAACCAGAAUUUUUGAACUCAUUUCAACCGAGUUCCCAAAAAGUUUAUUAAGUAAAUAAGAUAUUAUUAUGAAUACAAAACAUUUUAAAGUUUUAUAGAUGAUAAUUCUUUUCUAGAAGGUUCUGCCAGCGAGGAUGAAUAAAAAAAAAAGAAAAAUAUCGAUAUAAUAUUUGUAAUUUAUAUAAAUAUAAACAUUUUUCGUCCAUCCAACUCAGCGACCUCUCUGGCAAUCAGAAAGAUUUCAAUAACGAUCAAACAAAGGCUAAUCGAUUAUUUCAGUCAUCAGAUUUUGGUGGCAACGACAUGUUACCAAACACCAUAAAGAAGCUCUCAAAGUCCGACCACGAGACAAGACAAAGUUGCCAGUACGAAUCCGUCUCCGUUCUUCGACCUCGUUCCAUACUGUAUAUUACGAUCGAAGUGAACUGUGUCAUCUUCAACUAUUUCACCAUCACACUGUUUAUAUAUUAUUAUGGUCUAUUUGUGAUCACAACAUAAGAGUUCAAAUUCAUAAUUAUAUUUCAUUUUAGUAAAUGAAUAAAUUGGAGUGAUUGAUACCGCCGGUUAUAGGUGGAUGCAAUCGAGCCAUAUACUACUACUGAACUUUGUAGAUCCCAUGUCAUACAAGUCAAGACAAAAGCACUCCUUUCGGGAAUUCUUGGUGAUGACUUGUUGAAGUUAUGAUCGUGUAUACAAUAUCUCAUGUUUCAGUCAUAAUAUUUGCAUAAAUUGACUUAUUACCGGUAUAUUUUAGUAAAGUUGUCUGCAUAGAUAUAUAAAGUUCAUGAACCUGAGGGAGGAUAAACAUAAGGUGGAUAAAGAAGUAUGCAUAUAUAUAUAUAAUAUGAGAUAUUACACUUUUUGAGGAUGCUGCACUCCAUAUAAUCUAUAAUCUUCCAGGUGGGAAAUACUAUCAUAUGAUCUAAAUAUUGAAAUAUGACUCAUGGAUUUCUUUCUUAAAAAUCAAGUUUUAUUUAUUAUAUUUAAUGACGUGUUUAUAUGAAAUUUGCAACAGUACACCAAUCGUAUGUCAAUAGAGAUGACUCGAGAAUUCUGAAACAUGACACACUUCAUACGUACUUUUCAUAACAUAGAAAGGUCUCUUAAUUCCAUUACAAUAGCAAACGCAAACAGGUAGUCCACUGUUUGCUUAUUCACACCAAAACACACGAGCUAAGAGUGCAGCUUAAUUCAUUCCUCCGACUAGUUUUUCUUCGCGAACUGAGCCUGAAGCCAGUCGACAAGCUUCUUGUCCACUUGGAAAGCCUUGGCGAGGAUUUCAUCCGAGAUGGGGGGAUUCGCCCCGAACACAGCAUCGGCGAUUGUGAUGGUGCCGGGGUUUUGGCUACUGAGAGCACCGAUGGCGAAGGUGUUGGUGUACCCAGGGUUGAACUGGAAGUGGAUGAGGCCUUGAGGGAACACAAACACAUCACCCUUCUUCAGCAUCUUGGUGAAGAGGCGGUUGUCGGUGUUGGAUGUGACGAAGCCGACUAAGAG